CAAGUCGAGCGGGGGAAGGUAGCUUGCUACUGGACCUAGCGGCGGACGGGUGAGUAAUGCUUAGGAAUCUGCCUAUUAGUGGGGGACAACAUCUCGAAAGGGAUGCUAAUACCGCAUACGUCCUACGGGAGAAAGCAGGGGAUCUUCGGACCUUGCGCUAAUAGAUGAGCCUAAGUCGGAUUACCUAGUUGGUGGGGUAAAGGCCUACCAAGGCGACGAUCUGUAGCGGGUCUGAGAGGAUGAUCCGCCACACUGGGACUGAGACACGGCCCAGACUCCUACGGGAGGCAGCAGUGGGGAAUAUUGGACAAUGGGGGGAACCCUGAUCCAGCCAUGCCGCGUGUGUGAAGAAGGCCUUAUGGUUGUAAAGCACUUUAAGCGAGGAGGAGGCUACUCUAGUUAAUACCUAGAGAUAGUGGACGUUACUCGCAGAAUAAGCACCGGCUAACUCUGUGCCAGCACCCGCGGUAAUACAGAGGGUGCGAGCGUUAAUCGGAUUUACUGGGCGUAAAGCGUGCGUAGGCGGCUUAUUAAGUCGGAUGUGAAAUCCCCAAGCUUAACUUGGGAAUUGCAUUCGAUACUGGUGAGCUAGAGUAUGGGAGAGGAUGGUAGAAUUCCAGGUGUAGCGGUGAAAUGCGUAGAGAUCUGGAGGAAUACCGAUGGCGAAGGCAGCCAUCUGGCCUAAUACUGACGCUGAGGUACGAAAGCAUGGGGAGCAAACAGGAUUAGAUACCCUGGUAGUCCAUGCCGUAAACGAUGUCUACUAGCCGUUGGGGCCUUUGAGGCUUUAGUGGCGCACCUAACGCGAUAAGUAGACCGCCUGGGGAGUACGGUCGCAAGACUAAAACUCAAAUGAUUGA
This 860-nucleotide ribosomal RNA is filed under the name Acinetobacter baumannii. RNAcentral describes it as "bacterial SSU rRNA". It matches the Rfam family "Bacterial small subunit ribosomal RNA", at positions 58 to 913 of the family's 1533-position model. The record is from RNAcentral. Lineage: Bacteria; Pseudomonadati; Pseudomonadota; Gammaproteobacteria; Moraxellales; Moraxellaceae.